UACGGGGGGGGCAAGCGUUGUUCGGAAUUACUGGGCGUAAAGGGCUCGUAGGCGGCCAACUAAGUCAGACGUGAAAUCCCUCGGCUUAACCGGGGAACUGCGUCUGAUACUGGAUGGCUUGAGUUUGGGAGAGGGAUGCGGAAUUCCAGGUGUAGCGGUGAAAUGCGUAGAUAUCAGGAGGAACACCUGUGGCGAAGGCGUCCAUCUGGCCCGUUACUGACGCUGAUGCGCGAAAGCUAGGGGAGCAAACGGG
RNAcentral lists this ribosomal RNA (253 nucleotides) under uncultured bacterium. RNAcentral's name for it is "partial 16S ribosomal RNA". It matches the Rfam family "Bacterial small subunit ribosomal RNA", at positions 524 to 776 of the family's 1533-position model. The record is from RNAcentral.